AAAGAAAAAAUAAGAAAUCUUAAAGAAAUAUUAGAAUGAUUACAAAUAUAUCUCAAAUACAUCUCAAUUCAAUCUUAAUUUAAUCCUAGUAGAAUUCUUAUUGGAUUUCAUUCAAAUUUUAGGCCAAAAACUAAUUAAAUCUUAAAUCCUAAAAAAACUCAAAUAAAAUCCUAAAUCCUAAAUCAAAUCCUAACAAAAUCCUAACCAAACCUUAAAUCCUAAACCAAAUCCUAAAUCCUAAACCAAAUCCUAAACCCUAACCAAAUCAAAACCCUAAACCAAAUCCUAAAUCCUAACCAAAUC
RNAcentral lists this long non-coding RNA (303 nucleotides) under Physcomitrium patens. Its description in RNAcentral is "long non-coding RNA (PPAT_LNC001077)". The record is from RNAcentral. Lineage: Eukaryota; Viridiplantae; Streptophyta; Bryopsida; Funariales; Funariaceae.